UGUUGCAUGGACGGUACAGAGGGAAUGCAGGUCCUCCUAUUGCAUCCACCACUCUAGAUUGCAGCCUGUGUGCAGCUGCGUGUAACUGGACUGCUGAUGUGCUAUUGUGUUGACCUACAUCACUGUCUAGAAUGACCAAACCGUAUGGCCUUGCGCCGAACAGCAUGCUUCCAGUUUCUCUCUGUGUGAAUAGUUCUGAAGUCGGCACUGUGACAAUAUGCCUGCCAGGAGCUAUGCUAUAGUUUGGGCAAUAGAAGACACCCUUCACAACUCAAGCUUCCAUUACAUACGAAAUCCUGAAUGCAUACCGAGAGACAGUGCUUCAUUUUCCUGCCAGGUUAUUCCAAAUAACGCUUGAGGCUCUCAGCACUCUCACUCUCAUGCCUCUCAGGCUAUAGCUAGGAAAUUUCCGCGAAUAAAUGUAAUGCCCUGAUCACACACAGUGGGUUCUACUUCUCUGUACUGUCCACCCCAACAACCCACGGUGUACGAUAUCCCCGCCAACUAAACCUCAAACGCUAGGGAAAGUAUACGCACAACGAAAUGGGCUCAUCACGAUUUCUCCGCAGCUA
This 572-nucleotide small RNA is filed under the name Histoplasma capsulatum var. duboisii H88. Its description in RNAcentral is "Histoplasma capsulatum H88 hypothetical RNA". The record is from RNAcentral. Lineage: Eukaryota; Fungi; Ascomycota; Eurotiomycetes; Onygenales; Ajellomycetaceae.